UGGGGAAUAUUGCACAAUGGGCGCAAGCCUGAUGCAGCAACGCCGCGUGAGUGCUUAAGGCUUUCGUGUCGUAAAACUCUGUCCUAUGGGAAGCAAACCCUGACGUUACCCUAGGAGGAAGCCCCUGCUAACUACGUUCCAGCAGCCGCGUUCCUACUUAGGGGGCAAGCGUUAUCCGGAAUCACUGGGCGUAAAGGGUGCGUAGGUGGCUUAUCAAGCCAGAGUUGAAAGGCAUUGGCUAAACCAAUGUAAGCCUUUGGAACUGAUAGGCUUGAGUGCAGGAGAGGUAAGUGGAAUUCCUAGUGUAGAGGUGAAAUUCGUAGAUAUUAGGAGGAACACCAGUGGCGAAGGCGACUUACUGGACUGUAACUGACACUGAGGAACGAAAGCGUGGGGAGCGAACA
This 404-nucleotide ribosomal RNA is filed under the name uncultured bacterium. RNAcentral's name for it is "bacterial SSU rRNA". It matches the Rfam family "Bacterial small subunit ribosomal RNA", at positions 355 to 774 of the family's 1533-position model. The record is from RNAcentral.